CGGACGGGUGAGUAGCACGUGGGCAAUCUACCUUUCGGUGAGGAAUACCGGCGAGAAAUCGCCGACAAUACCGCAUAGCCUUGGCAACAAGGAAAGUCGCAAGACGCCGGAGGAGGAGCCUGCGCCCGAUUAGCUAGUUGGUGGAGUAAUGGUCUACCAAGGCGACGAUCGGUAGCUGGUCUGAGAGGAUGAUCAGCCACACUGGGAUUGAGAACGGCCCAG
RNAcentral lists this ribosomal RNA (222 nucleotides) under uncultured bacterium. RNAcentral's name for it is "partial 16S ribosomal RNA". It matches the Rfam family "Bacterial small subunit ribosomal RNA", at positions 99 to 334 of the family's 1533-position model. The record is from RNAcentral.